RNAcentral lists this ribosomal RNA (424 nucleotides) under uncultured bacterium. RNAcentral's name for it is "bacterial SSU rRNA". It matches the Rfam family "Bacterial small subunit ribosomal RNA", at positions 355 to 772 of the family's 1533-position model. The record is from RNAcentral.
UGGGGAAUCUUGGACAAUGGGCGCAAGCCUGAUCCAGCCAUGCCGCGUGAGUGAUGAAGGCCUUCGGGUUGUAAAGCUCUGUGGGGAGAGACGGAUAAGGGUUGGCUAAUACCCAGCUCGAUGACGGUAUCUCCUUAGCAAGCACCGGCUAACUCUGUGCCAGCAGCCGCGGUAAGACAGAGGGUGCAAACGUUGUUCGGAAUUACUGGGCGUAAAGCGCGUGUAGACGGUCAGGCAAGUCGGAUGUGAAAUCCCGUGGCUCAACUACGGAAGUGCACCCGAAACUGCUUGACUUGAGUCCCGGAGAGGAAGGCGGAAUGCUUGGUGUAGAGGUGAAAUUCGUAGAUAUCAAGCGGAACACCGGUGGCGAAGGCGGCCUUCUGGACGAGGACUGACGCUGAGACGCGAAAGCGUGGGGAGCAAA